CCUACGGGCGGCAGCAGUGGGGAAUAUUGGACAAUGGGGGCAACCCUGAUCCAGCCAUGCCGCGUGUGUGAAGAAGGCCCUCGGGUUGUAAAGCACUUUCAGUGAGGAAGAACGCCUGGUGGUUAAUACCCAUCAGGAAAGACAUCACUCACAGAAGAAGCACCGGCUAACUCCGUGCCAGCAGCCGCGGUAAUACGGAGGGUGCGAGCGUUAAUCGGAAUUACUGGGCGUAAAGCGCGCGUAGGUGGCUUGAUAAGCCGGUUGUGAAAGCCCUGGGCUCAACCUGGGAACGGCAUCCGGAACUGUCAAGCUAGAGUGCAGGAGAGGAAGGUAGAAUUCCCGGUGUAGCGGUGAAAUGCGUAGAGAUCGGGAGGAAUACCAGUGGCGAAGGCGGCCUUCUGGACUGACACUGACACUGAGGUGCGAAAGCGUGGGUAGCAAACAGGAUUAGAUACCCGAGUAGUC
RNAcentral lists this ribosomal RNA (465 nucleotides) under Vreelandella stevensii. RNAcentral's name for it is "partial 16S ribosomal RNA". It matches the Rfam family "Bacterial small subunit ribosomal RNA", at positions 338 to 795 of the family's 1533-position model. Lineage: Bacteria; Pseudomonadati; Pseudomonadota; Gammaproteobacteria; Oceanospirillales; Halomonadaceae. The record is from RNAcentral.